GGUAGUGGUAGCAGAAAGCGUAGGGUUUUGAACCCAGGAAAGUCCGCCCAUUGAGUAUCAUGGUUACCUUUGAAAGAAGGGUGGGGAAAUCCCACAGCUCUGGAUUAGAAACGACACGUCCUAUAAAAUUGGAAUGAUUGGAAGUCCUAAUGGCGAAAUUAUUUGAGAAAAUAAUGAGUUAACUCCUUGACGUCUUUAUAGGGAACGAUGAAACGGCGAAUCUUAACCAAUGCAAGUCAGUUUGACGCUUAGUAGAAUGCUUUCAUGGAUCAUCGCAAUCUUUUAAGGUUGUUUGGGUCCAACAAAAGGUGGCUUAUGCUGCCCUACC
This 328-nucleotide RNase P RNA is filed under the name Candidatus Woesearchaeota archaeon. Its description in RNAcentral is "RNase P RNA component". It matches the Rfam family "Archaeal RNase P". From Rfam's summary of the family: Ribonuclease P (RNase P) is a ubiquitous endoribonuclease, found in archaea, bacteria and eukarya as well as chloroplasts and mitochondria. The record is from RNAcentral. Lineage: Archaea; Nanobdellati; Candidatus Woesearchaeota.